RNAcentral lists this ribosomal RNA (400 nucleotides) under uncultured bacterium. RNAcentral's name for it is "bacterial SSU rRNA". It matches the Rfam family "Bacterial small subunit ribosomal RNA", at positions 355 to 772 of the family's 1533-position model. The record is from RNAcentral.
UGGGGAAUAUUGGACAAUGGGGGAAACCCUGAUCCAGCCAUGCCGCGUGAGUGAUGAAGGCCUUAGGGUUGUAAAGCUCUUUCACCCACGACGAUGAUGACGGUAGUGGGAGAAGAAGCCCCGGCUAACUUCGUGCCAGCAGCCGCGGUAAUACGAAGGGGGCUAGCGUUGUUCGGAAUUACUGGGCGUAAAGCGCACGCAGGCGGUGGUCAUAGUCAGAAGUGAAAGCCCUGGGCUCAACCCGGGAAUUGCUUUUGAUACUGGACCGCUAGAAUCACGGAGAGGGUAGUGGAAUUCCGAGUGUAGAGGUGAAAUUCGUAGAUAUUCGGAAGAACACCAGUGGCGAAGGCGACUACCUGGCCGUCGAUUGACGCUCAUGUGCGAAAGCGUGGGGAGCAAA